UACGAAGGGGGCUAGCGUUGCUCGGAAUGACUGGGCGUAAAGGGCGCGUAGGCGGCGGACACAGUCAGAUGUGAAAUUCCCGGGCUCAACCUGGGGGCUGCAUUUGAUACGUGUUUGCUUGAGUGGGGAAGAGGGUCGUGGAAUUCCCAGUGUAGAGGUGAAAUUCGUAGAUAUUGGGAAGAACGCCGGUGGCGAAGGCGGCGACCUGGUCCUUGACUGACGCUGAGGCGCGAAAGCGUGGGGAGCAAACAGG
This 253-nucleotide ribosomal RNA is filed under the name uncultured bacterium. Its description in RNAcentral is "partial 16S ribosomal RNA". It matches the Rfam family "Bacterial small subunit ribosomal RNA", at positions 524 to 776 of the family's 1533-position model. The record is from RNAcentral.